CAAACGGCCCUUUUUAGGGCCAACACAAAAUAAAAUGAAGGAAUAU
Molecule: non-coding RNA, 46 nt
Organism: Habropoda laboriosa
Lineage: Eukaryota; Metazoa; Arthropoda; Insecta; Hymenoptera; Apidae
Source: Rfam